This 509-nucleotide ribosomal RNA is filed under the name uncultured Glomus. RNAcentral describes it as "SSU rRNA". It matches the Rfam family "Eukaryotic small subunit ribosomal RNA", at positions 569 to 1083 of the family's 1831-position model. The record is from RNAcentral. Lineage: Eukaryota; Fungi; Glomeromycota; Glomeromycetes; Glomerales; Glomeraceae.
AGCAGCCGCGGUAAUUCCAGCUCCAAUAGCGUAUAUUAAAGUUGUUGCAGUUAAAAAGCUCGUAGUUGAAUUUCGGGAUCAAUAUGUUGGUCGUGCCUCGGUACGUACUAGCAUAUUGGUUUCUCCUUUCUGAAGAACCAUGAUGUCAUUUAUUUGGUGUCGUGGGGAAUCAGGACUGUUACUUUGAAAAAUUAGAGUGUUUAAAGCAGGCUCACGCUUGAAUACAUUAGCAUGGAAUAAUGAAAUAGGACGUUUGAUUCUAUUUUGUUGGUUUCUAGGAUCGACGUAAUGAUUAAUAGGGAUAGUUGGGGGCAUUAGUAUUCAAUUGUCAGAGGUGAAAUUCUUGGAUUUAUUGAAGACUAACUACUGCGAAAGCAUUUGCCAAGGAUGUUUUCAUUAAUCAAGAACGAAAGUUAGGGGAUCGAAGACGAUCAGAUACCGUCGUAGUCUUAACCAUAAACUAUGCCGACUAGGGAUCGGAUGAUGUUAAUUUUUAAUGACUCAUUCGG